UGGGGAAUAUUGCACAAUGGGGAACCGUGAUGCAGCGACGCCGCGUGAAGGAAGAAGUAUCUCGGUAUGUAAACUUCUAUCAGCAGGGAAGAAAAUGACGGUACCUGACUAAGAAGCCCCGGCUAACUACGUGCCAGCAGCCGCGGUAAUACGUAGGGGCAAGCGGUUAUCCGGAUUUACUGGGUGUAAAGGGAGCGUAGACGGAGCAGCAAGUCUGAUGUGAAAGGCAGGGGCUCAACCCCUGGACUGCAUUGGAAACUGUUGAUCUUGAGUACCGGAGGGGUAAGCGGAAUUCCUAGUGUAGCGGUGAAAUGCGUAGAUAUUAGGAGGAACACCAGUGGCGAAGGCGGCUUUACUUGG
RNAcentral lists this ribosomal RNA (360 nucleotides) under uncultured Blautia sp. RNAcentral describes it as "bacterial SSU rRNA". It matches the Rfam family "Bacterial small subunit ribosomal RNA", at positions 355 to 733 of the family's 1533-position model. The record is from RNAcentral. Lineage: Bacteria; Bacillati; Bacillota; Clostridia; Lachnospirales; Lachnospiraceae.